Molecule: ribosomal RNA, 254 nt
Filed under: uncultured bacterium
Lineage: Bacteria
Description: partial 16S ribosomal RNA
Rfam family: Bacterial small subunit ribosomal RNA
Source: RNAcentral
UACGUAGGCAGCGAGCGUUGUUCGGAGUUACUGGGCGUAAAGGGUGUGUAGGCGGUUGUUUAAGUUUGGUGUGAAAUCUCCCGGCUCAACUGGGAGGGUGCGCCGAAUUACUGAAUGACUAGAGUGCGGGAGAGGUGAGUGGAAUUCCUGGUGUAGCGGUGAAAUGCGUAGAUAUCAGGAGGAACACCGGUGGUGUAGACGGCUCACUGGACCGUAACUGACGCUGAGACACGAAAGCGUGGGUAGCAAACAGG